GGGGAGGGGUUUUUGACAAGUGACCUGUAUUACUCCAGAAAUCUUGAAGGCUUGCCUGGAAUAUGGAUGCAAAUCAACAAUUUUGCACAGAGAUAUCAAGUCAAGGAAUACAAGCCAACAAAUAAUCUUGUGCUCAAGAACCUUAUCAAUGUCAACUCUGCAUUCCAAUUUCACACGGAUGUGGAUUAGGAAGACCUUUAGAUUUGCAUGACCAGAGGAACUUGAUUGCAUGAACGUGGUCAGUUGGUGCAGAUCAGGACCGCUGGUGUGGAAUCUAGGCGGCCACGAUUCUCCACUAACUCUGUGGUCUCCACGUGGUCUCCAGAUGGAUGAAGGACAACCUCAAUGUUUAGAUCUCUCCUGGCGAAAUUGAGAAAGACUAAGGAGUUAAAAUUUCCCUGGAUUAGGGUGAAACCGUGUGCAUAUCCACAAGGUUGAUGUGGGAAACAAAGCAACCAAAGCUUCUGAGCUGGUUUUGCAGAACAACAGGAAGUCUGCUGAUAGGAGAGUAGCUUGCUGCUGGCUGGGCCCCUCCCAGCUCCGUCCCGCCUCCUGCCUGACCAAGCAUCACACAGGGUCUCACGAGACGUCAGCCAUGACUACAGUUUCAUCUGAUACCCGGGUCGUCUUCUAAUCUCACGUGAUUGUUGGAAGAUUCUUUGUCUUGAAUGUCUAGAAUUUUUCUGGCCUCCUCCUUGAAGGCCAGCAGGAGAAUCUCCUUUCAGAUCUCUCUGACUUCUUUUAACAACUCGCC
RNAcentral lists this long non-coding RNA (754 nucleotides) under Equus caballus (horse). RNAcentral's name for it is "lncRNA (ENSECAG00000051219.1)". Lineage: Eukaryota; Metazoa; Chordata; Mammalia; Perissodactyla; Equidae. The record is from RNAcentral.